UACGGAGGGUGCAAGCGUUAUCCGGAUUCACUGGGUUUAAAGGGUGCGUAGGCGGGCAGGUAAGUCAGUGGUGAAAUCCCCGGGCUUAACUUGGGAACUGCCGUUGAUACUAUCUGUCUUGAAUAUCGUGGAGGUGAGCGGAAUAUGUCAUGUAGCGGUGAAAUGCUUAGAUAUGACAUAGAACACCCAUUGCUAAGGCAGCUCACUACACGGUAAUUGACGCUGAGGCACGAAAGCGUGGGGAGCAAACAGG
This 253-nucleotide ribosomal RNA is filed under the name uncultured bacterium. RNAcentral describes it as "partial 16S ribosomal RNA". It matches the Rfam family "Bacterial small subunit ribosomal RNA", at positions 524 to 776 of the family's 1533-position model. The record is from RNAcentral.